AAACUUGAGAGUUUGAUCCUGGCUCAGAACGAACGCUGGCGGCAGGCUUAACACAUGCAAGUCGAACGCGUGUAGCAAUACACGAGUGGCGCACGGGUGAGUAACGCGUGGAUAUCUGCCUUUUGGUUCGGAAUAA
This 136-nucleotide ribosomal RNA is filed under the name Reyranella sp. Its description in RNAcentral is "partial 16S ribosomal RNA". It matches the Rfam family "Bacterial small subunit ribosomal RNA", at positions 1 to 146 of the family's 1533-position model. Lineage: Bacteria; Pseudomonadati; Pseudomonadota; Alphaproteobacteria; Hyphomicrobiales; Reyranellaceae. The record is from RNAcentral.